UAAGGAAUAUUGGACAAUGGAGGCAACUCUGAUCCAGCCAUGCCGCGUGAAGGAAUAAGGCCCUAUGGGUUGUAAACUUCUUUUAGACGGGACAAAACCCCUUUACGUGUAAAGGGUUGAUGGUACUGUCAGAAUAAGCAUCGGCUAACUUCGUGCCAGCAGCCGCGGUAAUACGAAGGAUGCAAGCGUUAUCCGGAAUUAUUGGGUUUAAAGGGUGCGCAGGCGGACUAAUAAGUCAGUGGUGAAAGCCUGCAGCUUAACUGCAGAAUUGCCAUUGAUACUGUUAGUCUUGAGUACAGUUGAGGUAGGCGGAAUGUGUCAUGUAGCGGUGAAAUGCUUAGAUAUGACACAGAACACCGAUUGCGAAGGCAGCUUGCUAAGCUGUAACUGACGCUGAGGCACGAAAGCGUGGGGAGCAAACA
RNAcentral lists this ribosomal RNA (422 nucleotides) under uncultured bacterium. RNAcentral describes it as "bacterial SSU rRNA". It matches the Rfam family "Bacterial small subunit ribosomal RNA", at positions 355 to 774 of the family's 1533-position model. The record is from RNAcentral.